GCGGUCGUGGCGGAAUUGGUAGACGCGCUACUUUGAGGGGGUAGUAUCCGUACGGAUGUGUGGGUUCAAAUCCCACCGACCGCACCA
This 87-nucleotide transfer RNA is filed under the name Acholeplasmataceae bacterium. Its description in RNAcentral is "tRNA-Leu". It matches the Rfam family "tRNA". Rfam says of the family: Transfer RNA (tRNA) molecules are approximately 80 nucleotides in length. Their secondary structure includes four short double-helical elements and three loops (D, anti-codon, and T loops). Further hydrogen bonds mediate the characteristic L-shaped molecular structure. tRNAs have two regions of fundamental functional importance: the anti-codon, which is responsible for specific mRNA codon recognition, and the 3' end, to which the tRNAs corresponding amino acid is attached (by aminoacyl-tRNA synthetases). tRNAs cope with the degeneracy of the genetic code in two manners: having more than one tRNA (with a specific anti-codon) for a particular amino acid; and 'wobble' base-pairing, i.e. permitting non-standard base-pairing at the 3rd anti-codon position. Lineage: Bacteria; Bacillati; Mycoplasmatota; Mollicutes; Acholeplasmatales; Acholeplasmataceae. The record is from RNAcentral. RNAcentral also lists the same sequence under 1 other name.